GGAGGGGUGCGUGAGUGGCCGAAACGGGCGGUCUUGAAAACCGCUGUGGCUGAAAAGCCACCGUGGGUUCGAAUCCCACCCCCUCCG
This 87-nucleotide transfer RNA is filed under the name Pseudomonadota bacterium. RNAcentral's name for it is "Proteobacteria bacterium (freshwater sediment metagenome) tRNA-Ser". It matches the Rfam family "tRNA". Rfam says of the family: Transfer RNA (tRNA) molecules are approximately 80 nucleotides in length. The record is from RNAcentral. Lineage: Bacteria; Pseudomonadati; Pseudomonadota.